RNAcentral lists this ribosomal RNA (351 nucleotides) under uncultured bacterium. RNAcentral's name for it is "partial 16S ribosomal RNA". It matches the Rfam family "Bacterial small subunit ribosomal RNA", at positions 338 to 682 of the family's 1533-position model. The record is from RNAcentral.
CCUACGGGUGGCAGCAGUAGGGAAUGUUCGUCAAUGGGCGCAAGCCUGAACGAGCGAUGCCGCGUGAGUGAAGAAUGCCUUCGGGUCGUAAAGCUCUGUUGCGGGGAAAAAAGGCAGCAUCAGGAAAUGGGUGCUGACUGAGGGUGCCCCGCCAGAAAGACACGGCUAACUACGAGCCAGCAGCCGCGGUAAUACGUAGGUGGCGAGCGGUAUCCGGAAUGAGUGGGCGUCAAGGGUGCGCAGGCGGUCCUGCAAGUCUGGAGGGAAACGCAUGAGCUCAACUCAUGCAUGGCUUUGGAAACUGGAGGCCUGGAGCGCAGGAGAGGUCGGUGGAACUCCCUGUGUAGCGGU